RNAcentral lists this long non-coding RNA (754 nucleotides) under Homo sapiens (human). RNAcentral describes it as "HSALNT0252023". The record is from RNAcentral. Lineage: Eukaryota; Metazoa; Chordata; Mammalia; Primates; Hominidae.
GAUUUUUAACUCUUCUUCUUUCUAUGAUUUUCAAAGGAUUCAAAAUAACUACAAAGCAUAGCAUGGUGCCUUUUGUGUAUAUGAAAAAGCAAAUCUGGUUCUAGGGCUUAAUGUUUGUUACUUGAGUCUGACAAUAGACAAUCUUGCCUUGGGCUAUGCCAGUAACGACAGGAGACCAGGCGCCGAGUCUUCAGAGCUCAACCUUGCUGGCAUCUGUUCCUCUGAGAGAGAGAAGUUGAGAGGGGAGGAGAGCAAGUUCCCACAAACCUUAAAGAGAAACAUCUGUUGCAGCUUGUGUGCUGAGUUCAGCAGGGGAGAAGCCAACCCAGGACCAGGUAAGAGUGUUUCCAUGCCACACCUCAGAUGAAAAAGUAUGAGAGAAAUUUACUCCUGACUUCUCUCUGCCCAACUUCUUCAAAUGGGAAGAGCACUGACUGAUCGGAUUGCCAGCAUUGGGAUGAGGAACUGAGCAUGCUCAGCUUUGCCUUUUCUGGGUUUUUCUCAUGUAGCUCUGGCUGCCAACACCUACGGUACACUCUGGUCUGCUGGUCACUAUGUGGAGCCUAUGGUUGUCCUUCUUUUUGAGUGCCUGGUUGGAUAAAUCUGACCAAUUUGUCUAGGGGCAGAUAUUGAUAAGCCCAUUAGGCUUCAGAUCUGACAUUGCAUUUUUCAAUCAGCUUGAUCAGUAACCUAUAGACAUUUUGAUCUUCAUUUGUUCGCCUCCUAUGUCUCCUCAUUUGGUUCCAUAUUUGGG